CUCUCUCUCUCUCUCUCUCAGGUUAGUUUUUUUGUCUUUUUUUUUUUUUUUUUUUUAGGUUAGUUUAGGGGAUUAGAUUAGGUGGUUAGUUUAGGUUUGGAAUUUUAAGAGUUUAGGUUGUCAUGAUAGAUAAGACUUGGAAUUUAAAAAGUUUAGGCUGUGAUAGAUAGAUAAUUGUAAUUUAUAACUUUUUCUGAUUUAUAUAAUUCUAUAUAGGUUGCUCUGACAGUUGAGGCUGCACUAUUUGUUGCAGGUUAGACGGCAGACACUCAAAAUCAACCGUCCAUCAAGCCAGACUGAGGAACAGGAAACUGCAGACUUAGAGCGAACCAACGUCCGAGACUUUUACGGAGACAUGUUUCCCUAGUUUUUUUUUUAUGUAUAACAUUUAAUUUUCUCUAGUUUUUUUAUGUAAAACAUUAUGACUCUUUUAUUUAUGCAGUUUUUAAGUUCAGAAUUUUAAAUAAUUAUUUUUUAUAAUUUUAAAUUAAAAAUUAAAAUUAAUUUUUUAUUAAA
RNAcentral lists this long non-coding RNA (516 nucleotides) under Brassica napus (rape). RNAcentral describes it as "long non-coding RNA (BNAP_LNC019429)". The record is from RNAcentral. Lineage: Eukaryota; Viridiplantae; Streptophyta; Magnoliopsida; Brassicales; Brassicaceae.